GAGGGGGUGCGAGCGUUAUUCGGGAUUUACUGGGGCGUAAAGGGUGCGUAGACGGCAUGCUAAGUCUGUUGUUAAAUUCCUCGGGCUUAACCGAGGGUUCGGCAAUGGAAACUGGCAGGCUAGAGGGUAGGAGAGAGAAGUGGAAUUCCCGGAGUAGCGGUAAAAUGCGUAGAUCUCGGGAGGAACACCAAUGGCGAAGGCAGCCUCUUGGCCUACUACUGACGUUGAGGCACGAAAGCGUGGGGAGCAAACAGGAUUAGAUACCCUGGUAGUCCACGCCGUAAACGAUAAUCACUAGACGUUAGUUCAGCCUAGCUGGAUUAGUGUCGCAGCUAACGCAUUAAGUGAUUCGCCUGGGGACUACGAUCGCAAAGAUUAAA
This 380-nucleotide ribosomal RNA is filed under the name uncultured organism. RNAcentral's name for it is "partial 16S ribosomal RNA". It matches the Rfam family "Bacterial small subunit ribosomal RNA", at positions 526 to 898 of the family's 1533-position model. The record is from RNAcentral.